UACGUAGGGGGCUAGCGUUAUCCGGAAUUACUGGGCGUAAAGGGUGCGUAGGUGGUUUCUUAAGUCAGAGGUGAAAGGCUACGGCUCAACCGUAGUAAGCCUUUGAAACUGAGAAACUUGAGUGCAGGAGAGGAGAGUAGAAUUCCUAGUGUAGCGGUGAAAUGCGUAGAUAUUAGGAGGAAUACCAGUUGCGAAGGCGGCUCUCUGGGACGGUACUGACGCUGAGACGCGAAAGCGUGGGGAGCGAACAGG
RNAcentral lists this ribosomal RNA (252 nucleotides) under uncultured bacterium. Its description in RNAcentral is "partial 16S ribosomal RNA". It matches the Rfam family "Bacterial small subunit ribosomal RNA", at positions 524 to 776 of the family's 1533-position model. The record is from RNAcentral.